CUUUUAUUUUUGCAACCCAAUUCUCCUCUCUUUCUUAUUCUACAUCAAUUUUCUUAUUUUUUAUUGCACAACUUAUUUUUAAGUAAUAACUAUUAUAAAACCAAAAUUUAUAUUCAAUGCAUACAAUUUAUACUAUAUAAAAAGGUUAUGUAAACAAUAUAAAUUUUUAUAAUGAGAUUUUAGAAAUGUAAUGUAUAAAAUUUAUUUUUAUACUCGAUAUAUGAAAUAUUUAUCCUCCACCAUUCUAUCAUUUUCUUCUUACUAUAAAAAAUUAUUGUCUGCACUCGAUAUAUUGGUGCAUUGCAUGCACUAAAAUUACAUGCACUAAAAUUAUUUUUUAAUGAUUAAUAUUACAAAAUUAAAAUUUAAACUUGAGUCUCGAACAAGUAGGGAUAGAACUUCCGCAUCACCGUCUCCGAUUCCCACGUCACCUCACGCUUCUCGUGAUGACUCCAUUGUACUUUUACAUAAGGUAUGACCAGGUUGCGUAAUUCAUUUGUCUCAUAAGCAAGAAUUCGCACUGGUCGCUUCUCAUAUCUCAAGUCCUCGCCAAGCUCCAGCGGAGUGAAAUCAAUCACGUGUGAGGGAUCGAACAUGUAUCUUCUCAAUGCCGAGUCGUGAAAAACAUCAUGAAUACUGGCCAGUCGUGGGGGUAGAGCAAUCCUGUAGGCUACUGGUCCAAUUCGCUUCAAUACCUCAAAAGGGCCUACAAACCGUGGACUGAGCUUUCCACGUACUCCGAAUCUGCGUAUCCCUCGGAAGGGCGAAACUUCCAAAAACACAUGGUCUCCAACCUGAAACUCUAUAUCUCGUCUUCUGGUAUCGGCAUAGCCCCUCUGUCGACUCUGGGCUGUCAAAAUAUACGUACAAUCUUAACCUUUUCCUCUGCUUCUAUCAGAAUCUCAGGUUCCAGAGUUCUCCUCUCACCCACAUCACUCCAAUACAAAGGGGAUCGACACCUGCGUCCAUGCAACGCCUCAAACAGAGCCAUUU
RNAcentral lists this long non-coding RNA (993 nucleotides) under Ananas comosus (pineapple). RNAcentral's name for it is "long non-coding RNA (ACOM_LNC018590)". The record is from RNAcentral. Lineage: Eukaryota; Viridiplantae; Streptophyta; Magnoliopsida; Poales; Bromeliaceae.